Pelobates cultripes (western spadefoot toad) is the source of this 265-nucleotide non-coding RNA. NCBI's taxonomy places the organism in Eukaryota, Metazoa, Chordata, Amphibia, Anura, Pelobatidae. The record is from the annotation of a GenBank genome assembly.
CCAAUUCGUCAUCAUUGAGUAAACUUUGACCCUGUACCUCACAGUCAGCAGACACAUUCCAGCCAAUCAGCAGCAGACCCUCCCUCCCAGACCCUCCCACCUCCUGGACAGCAUCCAUUUUACAUUCGUUGUGAAGCUGCAUUCUUAGUGAGAGGAGGGACAGUGUAGCUGCUGCUGAUUUGAUAGGGAAAUUGAUAGCUAGGCAAUUCAGUGUCCACUACAGUCCUGAAGGACUCAUCUGAUCUCUCUGACCUCACUACCCCCC